CAUUCAUCAAGAGUUAGCCGAGGGUAUUGGCCCGAUGAAGCUACGGCAACCACCGCGUAAUGCGAACGGUGCCAAUUCCAACAGGAAUUUCCUGGGAGAUGAGGA
This 105-nucleotide non-coding RNA is filed under the name Pelosinus fermentans. RNAcentral describes it as "SAM-I sequence". It matches the Rfam family "SAM riboswitch aptamer (S box leader)". Rfam says of the family: The SAM riboswitch is found upstream of a number of genes which code for proteins involved in methionine or cysteine biosynthesis in Gram-positive bacteria. The SAM riboswitch acts at the level of transcription termination control. Lineage: Bacteria; Bacillati; Bacillota; Negativicutes; Selenomonadales; Sporomusaceae. The record is from RNAcentral.